CAGAGGGCGCGAGCGUUGUCCGGAAUCACUGGGCGUAAAGGGCGCGUAGGUGGCCACCAUAAGGCCGCGGUGAAAGUUCGGGGCUCAACCCCGGAUCGGCCGCGGCGACUGUGGGGCUUGGGCACCGUAGAGGCAGAUGGAAUUCCGGGUGUAGCGGUGGAAUGCGUAGAGAUCCGGAAGAACACCAGUGGCGAAGGCGGUCUGCUGGGCGGUGGACUCGCAAGAGUCCAAUAGCCGACACUGAGGCGCGACAGCGUGGGGAGCAAACAGGAUUAGAUACCCUGGUAGUCCACGCCGUAAACGAUGGGCACUAGGUGCUCCGGGGAGCGACCCUUGGAGUACCGGCGCUAACGCAUGAAGUGCCCCGCCUGGGGAGUACGGCCGCAAGGCUG
RNAcentral lists this ribosomal RNA (392 nucleotides) under uncultured organism. Its description in RNAcentral is "bacterial SSU rRNA". It matches the Rfam family "Bacterial small subunit ribosomal RNA", at positions 526 to 896 of the family's 1533-position model. The record is from RNAcentral.